RNAcentral lists this ribosomal RNA (448 nucleotides) under uncultured bacterium. RNAcentral's name for it is "bacterial SSU rRNA". It matches the Rfam family "Bacterial small subunit ribosomal RNA", at positions 29 to 524 of the family's 1533-position model. The record is from RNAcentral.
AACGAACGCUGGCGGCAUGCCUAACACAUGCAAGUCGAACGAAGUCUUCGGACUUAGUGGCGCACGGGUGCGUAACGCGUGGGAAUCUGCCCUUGGGUGCGGAAUAACUUCUCGAAAGGGAUGCUAAUACCGCAUAAUGUCGUAAGACCAAAGAUUUAUCGCCCAAGGAUGAGCCCGCGUAAGAUUAGCUAGUUGGUGGGGUAAAAGCCUACCAAGGCGACGAUCUUUAGCUGGUCUGAGAGGAUGAUCAGCCACACUGGGACUGAGACACGGCCCAGACUCCUACGGGAGGCAGCAGUGGGGAAUAUUGGACAAUGGGCGAAAGCCUGAUCCAGCAAUGCCGCGUGAGUGAUGAAGGCCCUAGGUGUAAAGCUCUUUUACCAGGGAUGAUAAUGACAGUACCUGGAGAAUAAGCUCCGGCUAACUCCGUGCCAGCAGCCGCGGUAAU